AAAACGAAAUUGUUAGGAAAGAAUCUGUAACUUUCUUCGAUUGGAAGAAGGUUCAAAAUCCAGCUUUCCCAUUAACUAUAAAAUGAGGCCCUAAUCAAUUCUCUUCAAUCCGUCUAUGAAACUGAAGGAAUUCUUUUCUUCUCCGUGUUUGUGGCUGUUGCUCUCUGUAAUUAGUGAAAAAGAAGAAGAAUCUCAAGCGUUACACUCCGUUGAUUUCGAUUACUUUUACUUCCAGCAAACUUGGCACUAAGCUGGACCCAAGCAGAGUUUCCGAUUCAGAUUCUUUCGAUAUUUUUCCUUUUGGGGUUUAGGGGUCGCAUUGUUCGUUCAUUUUCUCCACUUUCCCCCCCAUUCCCAAUCCCUUUUUCCAGUACCUGCAACUCGAUUUCGUGAGAUUUCAUGGUUAGAGUUCGUUGGUGAUUGCGAACAAUUGAAAUGGGGUCGCUCUUGAUUCUGACGUUUCUAUUCGGUUUUGGUUUUGGGGUUGUGGCAAUCCUUGCGGCGGAGGCUCUUGCAGUCUAUAUCAUUUUGAACAAGUUGAGCAAGAGGUCUCAAAAGGACUUAGCUAAAGCCAAUGCCAAGCUAGAGCAAUCCGAGCCAGAUCCUCUUCAAUCCCUUGAAUUUCUUUCCAACAAGCAGGGUUGGGUAUGGAUAUUAGAAUCAAAUGUGCUAGAAGAUAUAAUAGAGAAAGCACCUGGAGAACAAAAGAAAGGGAAAGAUUUCUUGGAGGUAGCUCCUGUAAAAAAGUAUGCAAGAAUCAAGGACCAGACGUUAAUUAUAUCAGAAUCAGAUGGUAAUACGAAAACAAUUCAAUUAAAUGGCUGCACCAUUGAAGCCGUUUCAGCAGCAACCUUGCCUUCAAGAAAAUGGGUGAAAAGGUUCCCUUUAAAAUUGGAAAACAGAACCUCCAUAGUUUAUAAUGAAAGUAAAACAAUCUUCAUUUUUCUUGAAACUUCCUGGGAGAAGGAAUCAUGGUGUAAAGCCCUCCGUUUAGCUUCAUGUGUUGACAAAGAAAGACUGCAGUGGUUUGCUAAUUUACAGAAAGAGUUCCAUAGUUAUACCUCUUCUUUAAGAACUGGGUAUCCUUCAUUUAUGAAGCCCUCUGCAGGGUACUAUUCUGAAGCUACUGAUAAGGAUAUCAAGCCUAACGCUCCUUCGAAGGUUCAGCUCUUUUUCAAAAAACUGGCAAAGAAGACUUCUAAGGCUGCUUCAGAUUAUAAAGUAAAAUUUUCUUCUUCUUCUUUGCGUGAAGAAAAAAACUUUAGUGAGAGGUUUCAUCCGAGUCCAGGUUUUGUUUCGUCGUCGGGCUUAGGGAAGGGAAUUCCAAAGGCGCAGAGUACUAAAAGUUUAUUUGAGGAAGAUAUGGCAACACCAUCAAUGGUUCACUCAGGAAGCCACCAUGGUCAUGCCUCUGUUAUUUCUGAGGCAGAUUCUGAUGACAGAUUCUUGACUGAUGAUGGAACACUUGGUUGGAAUUUGUUGAUGUCAAGAUUCUUUUUUGAUGCCAAAAGCAAUGAAGGGCUAAUGAAAUCCUUGCACGAUCGAAUUCAGAGGAUGUUGUCGAACAUGAGGACUCCAAGUUACAUUCGCGAAGUUAGCUGUACUAAAGUUCAUCCUGGAAACCUCCCGCCCAAUAUCAAUACUAUAAGGGUUCUUCCCUUUGAAUUGAGUGAAGUAUGGGCCUUGGAGGUUGACUUUGAAUACUCUGGAGGCUUUGCCUUAGAUAUCGAAACUAGAAUUGAAGUUCAUGAAUUAGAUCUUCAAAAAAGCGCAGUAGACUCUAAAUCUGAUUCCAGUGAUGUUGGGGAGGUCUCUUCAUUUCUAGAAGUUUAUCUUCGAAAGCAGUUCAGUACCUCUGAAGGAACAGAACAGAACGACGAAGGUGGGUCGGAAAACAGUAAGAACCCCACGUCCUCAUACUCUAGUGGAUCCAAGUGGAAAUCUCUAAUGAAUUCUAUUGCUAAACAGGUUUCUCAGGUGCCGAUCUCUUUGGUACUAAAGGUUGCAUCUCUCCGAGGGACGCUGCGGGUACAUAUAAAACCGCCUCCUUCUGAUCAGCUAUGGUACAGUUUUACAUCCAUGCCAGAUUUGGAGGUGCGAUUGGAAUCAUCGUUUGGGGACCAUAAGAUAUCUAGUGCACAUGUUGCUCAGUUUUUGAACAACCGGCUUAAGGCAGUGAUCAAGGAUACUUUAGUGCUCCCCAACAGUGAAAGUAUAUUCAUUCCAUUCAUGAUGGCCGAGAAGGACGACUGGGUUCCACGGGACGUUGCACCAUUGAUCUGGUUCAACCAAGGAGCUUCUGAUAACAAAUCUUCAUGUGAAAAUCAAAGAUCCAAUCCUGUUGAACCAAAAAAUAGAUCUGAAGCCAGUAAAACCAUCUCCAUUGAGCAUAAAAUACCUCAGAACGAGCCUUCUCAGCCACACACUGACUUGGUAAAUGCAUCAAAGGCUUCAUCAAGUAGUGGUAAUCCAGCUCCAGCUUCAAGUAAGACAUUGGACGAAGAUGAAAUGAAAAUCCCUUUAUUAGAAAAUGACAAAGAAAUAGAAAAUUUGCAGCAAAAUAGAGUAGAGGCGCAGGAGAAUGAAUCACCAUCUAGUUCUAGAAGCUCAUCUGGGCAGGAAAAUCAUAACGCUGAGGAAGAUGAUCCAAAGCCGCCAAGGAGAACAGGAAGAAGAGCAAGAAUGCUAGAAAUAGGGAAGAAGAUGGGGGAGAAACUAGAAGAAAAGAGACGAACCAUUGAAGAAAAGAGCAGGAACAUUGUUGAGAAGAUGCGAGCACCAUAAACUAUGAAACCACAAUAUAUUACAAGAUGGGCGGCACAAAAUGUAUAUCUGAUUCUGAGUGCAGAUCACAGUUCUUCGUUUCUAGCAGAGAACAAAUUUGCAAGCCUUGUUCUUCUUUCUCAAUACUGGAGAGCUUGAAUCAGGUGGAACAGAGGUAACAUUGCUGGUGGCAUGAAAAAAAUCACUAUCUCAUAAAAACAGAGCAAGCUGCAUGAAUUUGACCAAGGUUUACAUACAUUUGGAUGGGAGAAAUUUGCCACAGGCGUACCUUUAACGCUUCAUUAACCCGAAAACCGCGAGAAUAAGCUGUAAUCACAGAACUCCAUUCCAAGAGAUAACACUUCUUGUAGACAUUUCGUCGACCACUUGGCGUGAAGAAGCCAAGUCGUCAGAGCACUCUGGAACACAUGUCGACAAGCGAGGUUUGAACAAACAUG
Cucurbita moschata (crookneck pumpkin) is the source of this 3221-nucleotide RNA transcript. RefSeq lists it as uncharacterized. The transcript is spliced from 8 exons. The record is from RefSeq and is a predicted model, not a curated record. Lineage: Eukaryota; Viridiplantae; Streptophyta; Magnoliopsida; Cucurbitales; Cucurbitaceae.